This is a long non-coding RNA of Cryptomeria japonica (Japanese cedar), 839 nucleotides long. RefSeq lists it as uncharacterized. The transcript has 2 exons. The record is from RefSeq and is a predicted model, not a curated record. Lineage: Eukaryota; Viridiplantae; Streptophyta; Pinopsida; Cupressales; Cupressaceae.
GUUUUGUUUUCUCUAACUUUCCAAGCAAAAACCACAUUGGAGAAAGGGAUAGGUUGAAAGGAGUUUAAUUACUUAAGGGAAGCCAUGUUUGAGAGUUUCCACGUUAUAGGUGAUGGAGAGAGUUCUCAUGCUGGGCGUGGAACUUAGUCGUGUUGCUCAGGUUUAUAUGCCGCGUUUCAAAAGUAAGAGGAAAAUGUGGGAUGUUGAAGUAGAGGGGUUUCAGGAGGAUUAAACAGCUCAUGUCCAUGUACUUUGGUUUAUAUGCCGCGUUUCAAAAGUAAGAGGAAAAUGUGGGAUGUUGAAGUAGAGGGGUUUCAGGAGGAUUAAACAGCUCAUGUCCAUGUACUUUGGUUUAUAUGCCGCGUUUCAAAAGUAAGAGGAAAAUGUGGGAUGUUGAAGUAGAGGGGUUUCAGGAGGAUUAAACAGCUCAUGUCCAUGUACUUACUAAUCUUUCAGCUGCAACCUUAACAUUGAGUUCACUUUAUGCAGGAAUCAGAGGAUUGAUGUUAAUUCUGGAUGAAGAAUUUGACAUUUCACACUCCAGGAAAGAAACUUUCGUACUGAAGCAAAGACAAAAUUUUAUAGAUGAAAAGUAAAUUGUUUCUGUUAAAAAGCCUCAUCUAUUGAAUUGUGUGGAAGAAAAUUAUUUUCAUACUAUCAGUUUUACUAUUAAGAAUUAAAAGUCCAGAAAUGGAAAAAAUACACAAAAAAGGUGAAGAGUCACACAACAGAAAUGUGCCUAAGCCUAUAUUCCAGCAACAUCAAUUAUUGAAUAGAAGAAACAACACUUAGGGAAAAUAGAAACUAAUAAUACAUGAUGAUGUUUUGUUUCAGUCUAA